Pelobates cultripes (western spadefoot toad) is the source of this 216-nucleotide non-coding RNA. Lineage: Eukaryota; Metazoa; Chordata; Amphibia; Anura; Pelobatidae. The record is from the annotation of a GenBank genome assembly.
UCUUGUCCCCGGUGUUUUCUACUUCUUGGUCUUCGUCGCCGAGAAAAAUCUCCUUGACUUAUCUCGAGGUGGUAGGUAGGUCCUGCCACUCUUCCUCCUCCGAUGGCGAGCCGUCCCCGUGCCAUUCGUCCACUACGUCUAAAGCGUGUGGCACAUACGAGUCCUCUUCGUCUGAGGAAGGCAGCGCUCGGGGUGUAGGUGAUCGCCUGUCUGUAC